Molecule: ribosomal RNA, 465 nt
Filed under: Vreelandella stevensii
Lineage: Bacteria; Pseudomonadati; Pseudomonadota; Gammaproteobacteria; Oceanospirillales; Halomonadaceae
Description: partial 16S ribosomal RNA
Rfam family: Bacterial small subunit ribosomal RNA
Source: RNAcentral
CCUACGGGUGGCAGCAGUGGGGAAUAUUGUACAAUGGGGGGAACCCUGAUCCAGCCAUGCCGCGUGUGUGAAGAAGGCCCUCGGGUUGUAAAGCACUUUCAGUGAGGAAGAACGCCUGGUGGUUAAUACCCAUCAGGAAAGACAUCACUCACAGAAGAAGCACCGGCUAACUCCGUGCCAGCAGCCGCGGUAAUACGGAGGGUGCGAGCGUUAAUCGGAAUUACUGGGCGUAAAGCGCGCGUAGGUGGCUUGAUAAGCCGGUUGUGAAAGCCCCGGGCUCAACCUGGGAACGGCAUCCGGAACUGUCAAGCUAGAGUGCAGGAGAGGAAGGUAGAAUUCCCGGUGUAGCGGUGAAAUGCGUAGAGAUCGGGAGGAAUACCAGUGGCGAAGGCGGCCUUCUGGACUGACACUGACACUGAGGUGCGAAAGCGUGGGUAGCAAACAGGAUUAGAUACCCUGGUAGUC